AAAACCUAAUUGUCAGCUUCCUUUGAUUUUUCUCGUCCAUUAAAAAAUUAUCACCAACCGCCUUAAUGGCGUCCCCAUAUAUCUAGCCGUCUAUUCCGGAUCUCAUGGCUUAAUCCUAACCGUUGAUAUCUACCCUUUCUUCAAUAAAUAACGUCUCUGCUUCGUAACUAUGUGAACCAUUUUCUCUCCCUUUCUUCUAAAAAACCCUGAUGAAAACUGAAAUUUUCAGAUCUGGUCCUGUAAGUUUCGAAUCGUUCAUUUCUUUCAUGAAAUUUAUACAAAUCUUUCGACGAUCUAUGUGUCUAUAUCAAUUUCCUCAGUGUUCUUUUGCGGAUAAAUACUCAUACAUGAAUUCAAUCUAGUCAACUUAUUGUUGUGGCGAUGAUUGAUUUGGUAUAAUUGUCGAUCCAAGGGGUCGAGUCGGACAAGUUCCAAUGACCGGGAAGAGAUAAAGGACAACGAAGGAAUCAGUUUUCCAGAUCUGAGGGCUGAUGAAAUGUACACUAGGUCAAUCAGGCGGCUAGACUGUUAUCUGUCGCAGGGUUUGUGUGGACGGAAAUAUUUAGUGUUCUGGAAGAAGAACGCGAAGAAAGAUUGAUGAAUCAUCACAGACAAUUUUGGCGGUUUGUAUGUACAUCAAUACUAUGUAUUGGUAUUGUGUUGUAUAGAUUUGAAUUUAGUUGUAUUCUUUGCGAGGAGAGGAAAGAAAUUGUGAGUGAAACUAUAUCGGACCUAUGCCAUGUUGGGUGCGCUCGCCUGGCAGGUCAACCAUGGUAAUAAAAAAAAACCUUUUGUUUUUUUGGGGAAGUUGGCACGGGGUGAUUCCCGGCUCUUCCUCCCGUCGGUGUCCUUGCGUUCUCUCUUUUCUUUUCUUGUCUCUUUCUCUUUCUAUCCCCUGAUUUCGUUUUGACAUGAUUAGACAACACAACGUACAUCAUAACGUUCAAAUACUGCGCCGGUCUUUCUACUCAUCAGCGUUCAAGAAUCAUGAAGGUAUACUCUCUGCUAAUUUUAUUUUGCAGUACCUUCAAAUAAACUACAUUUACUAAUUAAUUAGUGAUUAAUAUCGUAGUAACCGCAGUAUGAGCAGCUUUUAUAACAAAAAAGAAUCUUAACACUAAGUAGAGAAAAAUUUUAUUAAUGAUUAAUAUCCUCAUUACGUUGAUAAAACAUUUUCGAUUAAUUCAAUUUGAUAUAGGGGUGUUUGAUUCUUAGCUUUUGGAUUAGCUAUUUGAUUGGCUUUGCGCUUUUGAAUUGUUGGUGGAUAAACAGCCAAAAAAUAAAAUUGGUAACAAACGCUGAAGAGCUAGCAGGAAAAAGCUUCUCUAGCUAGUUUUUUGUUGGCUUUUGCUUGUUUGCUUUGCUCACAUUUUUUCUAAUAAGCAGUCAGUCAAAAGCCAAUUCUGUAAUAUACCCCAACAUCUCCACCAACAUGCGUUUUCAGUUAAUCUAAUUUAGAAGCCAACCAAACAUGACAUUUCUAAAAAAGCCAAUAGUCAAUUGCCAAACAUCCCCAUAAAAUAAAUUAUUCCAUUCCAACUAAAUUGAACACAUAAUCCUCAAUAGUUAAUUUAAUUUAUUUUAAAUGAACAGAAUAUUGGAAUAUUUAUCAACAAACAAUUGGCGUGCUGGGUUUUCAUAUUAUGCCCAAAUUAUGCGAGAUUUUCACAUUUCUGAUGAACAUCCAAUUUGUUCUUAUUAAUAAUGUUCGGCAUUUUUGAGAGUUUGUUUCCAAACUAAUUCGUAAGUUUUAACAUAAAUUGGAUUGAGGGAUUGUAAUCUUUGAUAUGGCAAGUCAUUUCAAUCCAAAACACUGGCAGCUCUUUUUCUCUAAACUCUCCUUAGUGUUAGUAUUGCUACCUGGUUUAUUGUUAAUUUAUGUCUAAUAUAAUUCUCAUUUUUGAGCAAGUUCAUUCAUCUUCACAUGAUUCGUUCUUUUAAGUUAAAUGUUCGUUCUUGAUUAAGGAUUUUUAAAUUUGUGGCAAUUGACAUCCCCAUAUGCGGCAGAUUGACUUGUCAAAUGUAAGCCAUGUGGGAUAUCAUGUAAGGCCUAGGUUAGGUUGCUAUGUAUGUUGCUUUGCUUGAGUGUAUAGUUUGCAAGCUCAUGUACGUGGAGACAUCUUCCGAUUCCAGUUUGAGAGAUCAACCCCAAGCAAGGAAUUGUUAUGGCGAGAUGAAGCCGUAGAUUAGCUGUUGAGAUGGAGCCGUAGAUCAACCCCAAGCAAGCGGUGCCUUUGUAAAGCUGAUUGCAGCCUUGAUUUCUGUUAAGUUGAAGUUUCUCUUUGAUAGUUCAUCAUGUUUUGAUAGAGCUUUGGACAUCUCUUGUUCAACAUUCAGUUUUGAUUGAUGAAAUGUUGUCGGAGUUCUGUUUCAAGCUUAUCUGGUUUUGAGUACUCUCUGGUUUCUUAAUUGGCAACCUGUUUCUGGUGUAUUGGAAUUGAGUGUCAAUUUCAUGGAGUGAUUCUGAGAAAUUUAUGGAUAGAAGCAUUUGGAACCUGUCUUCAAGUAUUUGUUCGUUCUGUGGUGAGGAAUUUUUGAUAUUCAUUUGAACUUUAUUCUAUAUUCAAUUUCCAUAUUUGAAGUUUAUAAGUUAUUAUUUACGCAUUCUUUUCUCUUGUUUCAGUAUCUGAUUGCUGUUAUAUUAGCGAAAUCUAGUCUUCUCUAAUUCAUUUAGGGCUUGUGUUUUAAUCAAAAUUUUAAUUCUUUUAAUUCGGUUUUAGAUUGUUUUUGAUAGACAAGUGGGAGUUUAUUUUGGUAUUACAAAUAUGUAUUGCUGAUUUUUUAUUUUGAGUUACCGUUUUAUUUUCUACUAAUCUUGAUGAAUUACAUCAAAUCUCUCUACUUUCAAAUGUUCUGAUUUUUUUAAGUAGGAAUGUCAAUUUUAUUGGUAACAAAAUAAAUUCAACGCGUUUCAUUAAAAAAAAAAAGAAUUCAACGGUUUCAUUCAAAAAAAAAAAGAAUUCAACGGUUUCAGUUUUAUACCCCCUUUUUUCAUUUACACCAAUUUUUUUUGUCAUGGAUAUUUCUUUUCUUUUUACUCUGUCAUGAAAAACCAGUUUGAUAGUUUGUGAACAAAUGCUUCUUCCUAUUUAAACUAUUAGUCUCAUUUACUUUUUUUUAUAUUUUCCGAGUAAACAUUUUAAUCUUUAAUUUUACUAAUUUUACUUAAUUAAAUUACUAAAAUUUGAUAUUAGUAAUUUUUAUAUUGAAAAAUCAAACAAGAUUUCAAUUGAUGUUUAAAGUUACAUAUUAAGAAUAAAAUAUAUAUAUAUAUAUUUAGAAAAUGAGAAAUAAGAAAAAAUAAGAGCUAGUAUUUGAAAUUUGAUUAACCCCAAACCCUGAACAAUCAAAUUAGCUUUCUAGUACAUGUUUUAUUAUCUUUAAGUUCAUCAUUCUUUGUUAUCAUUACUAGUACAAAUAAAGCUCGAUAGUUGAAGUUCGGUUUUACAAGUAUAAGAGCUAAUAAUAUUAUCGUAUCCAUUCUGAAUGGGAUGGAUAUGCAAGGAUGUGUUACUAAAACUCAUUAUUACACGGCAAUUGACAACUACUCGUUUAUUAAGUAAUUCUACAGGUGUAUGUGUAUGUAUAAACCUGACAUCUUGUUCGGUGGCCUGUAAGCUAAAAUUGGAAAGAGCAACCAGGUAACUAUUCCUGGUAGAUUGGUGGUUCGAAUCCACCCAGGUUAAUCUGUAAUCAAUUACGCCGUUAAUAUAAACUCGUAGGCAAUAACAAUUUUUUAUUUGUUCCGAGAGGAUGAUGAGCAUUGUAGCGUAUCGAUAAUUUUGUACAGCCAAACAAGAUACUUUUAUAUCUGAAUUUUGAUGUUAAUUUUGAAAGAAUCAAGUUUUGACUUGCAAAUUAUUGAAAAAUGACUAUAGUUGUUGCAACUACUUGGAUUUUAAGUGUGGCUAAAGAAUUUUUAAAAUUGCUUACUAUUGGAAUAAUAUAUUUUGUGGGUAUAAUAUAUUGUGGAAAUAAUAUAUUGUGCGGGAAUAUUUUUGGUUAUCUUUUAUAUUUUGUUUUCUAAAAUUCUAGUUGUCUAGUUAAGGUAAUUCUAGGAUUAGCAUUGUAUAUAUAUUAGAGUUGAUUGAUUAAUAAAGGUAAAAGGCCAUAAAUUUAUGCUAAUUCUACAUGGUAUAAGAAACCUUGUUUAUUCUAGGAUUAGUGUUGUAUAUAUAUUAGAAUUGAUUAAUUAAUGAAGUGUGCAUGCGUGCUAAGCAUCCAAGAGAUAGGUUUCCUUUGAGUGAUAAUAAAGCAUCUAGAAUUUUUGAAAAAAAUUCAUUGUGAUUUGUGGGGCCCGUAUACACAUGUUUCGUCGUGUGGAGCUCGUUGUUUUUUGAUGAUAGUUGACGACUAUUCUAGAGUUGUUUGAAUUUAUUUGUUGAAUGAUAAAACGGAGGUCUUUUGUAUGUUUUUGAUAUUUGUUGCUAUGGUAGAAAGACAAUUCUCUCAAACCAUUAAAAUUGUGCAAAGUGAUAAUGGUACGGAGUUUAAUUGCGUGAUUUUUUCAUACUACUAGUAUUAUUUUCCAAAUCUCAUGCGUGGGUACUCCGCAACAGAACAAGAGGGUAGAGAGAAAGCAUAAACAUAUUUUGUCAGUUGGACGAGCUUUGAGAUUCCAAGUCAAAUUACCAAUUUAUUUUUAGGGUGAGUGUGUUCUUGCUGCGGCUCACCUAAUUAAUCGAACUCCUACUUCGUUGCUACAAAAUAAAACUCCAUUUGAAAUCCUCUUUAAUAAACCUUCUAUGUUUGGUGCCAUUCGUACUUUUGGGUGUUUAUGUUUUGCACGUAAUCAGAUUACUCAUGGAGAUAAGUUUCCGAGUUGGAGUCGAAAAUGUGUCUUUGUGGGCUAUCCGUUUGGGAAGAAAGGGUGGAGAUUAUAUGACCUGAAUCCAAAGUCUUUUUUGUGUCUCGAGAUGUCAAAUUUAUUAGGAUGUGUUCCCUUUUGCUACACCGAAAGAUGUUCAUAUUGAGUCUCAUGGUUUUGAGUUGCCUUAUGAUAUACAUGAUGAUUUUGCGGAGUAUGAGGAGUACAUUGACAAUGUGGUGCAUGAUGUGCACAAUGGUGAAUUAUGAGGAUACGAGUAGUGUUGCUGACCUUGCUAUUGCCUCCCCGCCGAAUGAAGCUGCCUCUGCCCAACAGCAUCAGCUCGAAGCUGCCACAAUGCAUCGGGACCAGCCUACUGACACCGGCAGAGAGGCAGCAGGUCAGCCUUUGGGAUGUGGGUUUCGGGAAAAAGUUUUCGCGGUUCUUCUUCGUGAUUAUGUGACUCAAUCAGUGUUUGCUAAAAAUUCGUCCCUCUCCACUCCAUCUUUCAAUGCUACUUCAGGUACGCCUUAUCCUUUAGCACAUUAUGUAAAUUAUGACAAGUUUUCUGUGAAUUAUUAUAAGUUUCUGGCAGCUUUUGUUAGUGCUCAUGAUCCGAAAUCCUUUAUAAAAGCAAUGAAACAUGAAGGUUGGCGACAAUCUAUGUAGGAAGAAAUUAAAGCUUUGGAGGAUAAUGAGACUUGGACCCUAGAGCACCUUCCUCCCGGUAAACGUGCUGUAGGGAGUCAACGAGUGUACAAGACAAAAUAUUUGUCUAAUGGUGAUAUUGAACGUCUCAUGUCUCGUUUGGUCGUUUUUGGUAGCAGGAAGGCAUAGAUUAUAGUGAAACGUUUGUUCCAGUCGCAAAGAUGACUACUGUAGGGUAUUUCUUGCAAUUGUAGCUUAAAAAAACUGGGAACUUCAUCAAAUAAGUUCAUAAUGCCCUUUUGCAUGGUGAUCUUGAUGAGGAGGUGUACAUGAAAAUUACCUCCCGGGUUUGAGAAUUCAGAUCCGUCAUUGGUGUGUCGUCUGAGAAAAUCCUUGUAUGGGUUGAAACAAGCCCCGAGGUGUUUGUUUUCCAAGCUUAUAAGGGUACGACUUCUUACUAUCUCACUCUGAUUAUUCUCUCUUUAUUUACACUAAAGGCAUUGUUUAGAUUAACGUCGUAGUAUAUGUUGAUGAUUUUAUUAUUUCUGGGAAUCAUUCCGCUGCACUUGUUGGUCUCAACGCUUAUCUCGGAGAUUGUUUCAAAAUCAAGGAUCUUGGUCCUUUAAAGCAUUUCUUAGGUAUAGAAGUUUCUCGUAGUGCUUCAGGCCUUUUUCUAUGCCAAUGGAAGUAUACUUUGGAUAUCAUUUUUGAAGCAGGUUUAUUAGGGGCAAAGCCGAGUGGUUUUUCAAUGGAGCAAAAUCAUAAGCUUGGUCGUGCCACAGGCAAACAUCUUGCGGAUCCGGAAGUAUAUCGUCGGCUUGUUGGCCGUUUGAUUUAACUUGCGAUCACUAGACCCGAUUUAGCAUACUCCGUUCAUAUCUUGUCCCAGUUUAUGUAAGACCCUCGCUGUGAAUAUUGGGAAGCAGCUUUGCGUGUAGUUCGUUACUUGAAAGGUACACGGGGUCAAGGUAUCUUAUUAAGUGCUGAUAGUCUCACCUUGCAAGGUUGGUGUGAUUCGGAUUUGGUGGCUUGUCCUCUUACUCGUCGCUCUAUCAGAAGUUGGUUGGUGUUCCUCGAGCAUUCUCCUAUUUCUUGGAAAAAAACGUAACCCACUGUGUCAACGUCUUUUGCAGAGGUUGAAUACCGCUCCAUGGCGGCAUUUACUUGGGAGCUUAAGUGGCUUAAGGGCUUAUUGUUGAAUUUGGGCAUGCACCACUCAAAGGCAAUCAAAUUGUUUUAUGAUAGUCAAUCUGCUCUGCACAUUGCUAAUAAUCUGUUGUUUCAUGAACGAACCAAACACAUUGAAGUUAAUUGUCAUUUUGUUCGAGAUGUGAUUGUUGAAGGCUUGAUUUCUCCAUCAUAUGUUCCUACUACUUAUCAAUUGGCUGGCAUCUUCACAAAGGCUCUUGGGAAGUCACAAUUUGACUAUCUUCUCCCCAAAUUGGGCAUUCUCUCCAAGUCACGGCUUAUAUUAUCUUAAAAAAAACUAUUGAAAAAGAUAAAAUAAUGAAGUAUAUGUAAAUACUACCUUCUAUUCAGCCUAAAUGUUCCAUUUUUUGGGGCACUAUUCACUUAUGACUCUUAAUUUGUAUUUUACUCUUAAUCUAUAAGUUAAAACAUAUUUAUGUGGGAUCUUGUUUGAUUCGUUUCAAUACAAGGAUUAUUAAUAUCAAUUUUUUAUAAUUUUUAAUUAAAAAUAAUUUGAGAUAUUAAGAGUUAAAAUUUUACCUCAACAAGUGUUAAAGAUCAAAUGGGACAAUUGAACUGAAUAGUAAGGGGUGGAGUAUGAAAUAGAUAUGUUUCAAACCACCACACCGACAAACCCUAUUACUUUUUUUAAAAAAAUAAUAUACGCAAAUAGACGGUAGACCAAAACACACGUAACACGUUUAAGCCUACCUGUCAGCUUCCUUUUAUUUUUCUCGUCCAUAAAAAAUUUAUCACCAACUGCCUUAAUGACAUCAACGUAUAUCUAGCCGUCUAUUCUGGUUCUCAUGGCUCAAUCCCGACCAUUGAUUUUUACCCUUUCUUCAAUAAAUGCCGUUUCUUCUUUCUUAAACAAUAGCCAUUCCAUUCUUAUCUCUCUUCCUCUCUUGAAAACUCUUAAAGAUUACUGAAUUUCUAAGAUCUACUCCUAUAUGCUUUGAAUCGUUCGUUUCUUUCACGAAAUUCAUACCAAUCUCUUGACGAUCUAUGUUUCCAUAUCAAUUUCUUCAGUGUUCUGUGGAUUAUUCCUCAUAUCUGCUCAAUCCCGACAAUUGAUUUGGUAUGGCUUUCGAUCCAAGGAGUCGAAUCGGAAAGGCUCCGAUUACUGGGAAGAGAUGAUGACAAAGUAGGAAUCAGGUUUCCAUAUCUGAGUGCUGAUGAAUUCCGGCCCAGAUCAAUCAGACGGCUGGACAGUUGUCUGUCGGCAGUGCUCGUGCGGAAGGAAAUAUUUUAGUGUUUUCGAAGAUAAAGGCGAAGAGCGAUCUGUUGAUUUAUCGGAGACAAUUUUAGCGGUUUGUAUGUGCACCAAUACUAUGUAUUGGAUUUUCGUUGUUUAGAUUUGAAUCAAGUGGUAUUUUUGUGGGAGGAGAGGAAAAAUAUUGUGAGAGAAAAUUCAUCCGACCUUUGCCUUGUUGGGUGCGCUCGCCUGGCAGGUCAACCAUGUUAAUAAAAAUAAACCUUUUGUUUUUUGGAGGAAGAUGGCACGGGGUUUUUGCCCGGCUCUUCCUCCUGUGUCGUGUCUUGCGCUUUUCUUCCCCUUUUUUUUUUUUUUUUCUUUUUCUCUCUAUCCCUACGAUUUCCUUUUAACAUGAUUAGACAACACAACCUGCAUCACAUCGUUUCAAUACUGCACCGCUCUUUCUUCUCAUCAGCGUACAAGCAACACAAAGGUAUAUUCUGUGUUAAAUUCUACUUCGCAAUAUUUCCAAAUAAGCUGCUUUUAUAAAUUCUUCGGUAAUAGUUGUGGAAGCUGCUUACUUGGCAUUUGCCAUUAAUAUCUUAACCUCAAGUAGAGAAGUAUCUAUUAGCCCAAUGAAAUAGAUCAUCUUGGGUUGUAUACGGGUCAUAUAUAAAUAGGGUCAUCAUCCCCUUGAUCUAAACUCAACCCGUUUAGUUAAUUGGGUUGAAAAUAACAAUUCUGAUCUGACCUGCAACAGAUCAGAUCAACCUAAUUCUGACCCCUGAACUCGCUUAUAGUUUUGUUUCAUUUUAUGGUUUUUGAUUUAAUAUUAAUUAUAUAUAAUUUUGUAGGCUUUAUUUUAAAUUUUUGUUUAUAGAUUAUUUUUUGUUUACCCUGAAAAAGAAGUAAAAAUUAAAUGAAUUAAGUUUAGGUUACAAUUAUUUAUUUGACUCACAAUUAAGUUGUUUAAUUAAAUGGUUUAUAUAUGUUUGUUUCAAUUUUAAAAUUUGACCUCGAUCCAACCCAUUACCAUUAAUAAACAGAUCGGGUCAAGUCUCAAAUCCACUUAUUUCGAAUUAGGUUCACGUAGCGGUAGCUGAUUGGAUUAGCUUUUGUCAGCCCGAUUAUUUAUUGGAUAAUCUAAUCUGAGUCUUGCAAAAACAAUUACAGAACAUAUUGUAAUUUUUUAUGUUUUAGUGAUAAAUGAUUUAAAUUAAAUUGUUUAAAUUGCAUGGUAUAAAGGAGUAUGUAUCAAUUGAUAUUAGCCGUGCUGGGUUUUCACAAUAUAUUCAGUCUAUUCAAGAAUUGUAUGUCUGAUGACCAAUUAAUUUAUUACUAUUUACUAUAAUGUCCGGCUCUGUAGCAGGUUGAUUUACAAACAAGUUCGUUAGUUUUAACAUUAAUUUGACUGAUUGAGGGGUUGCAAUCUUUAUUACGGAAGUCAUUUCAAUUUAAAUCACGGCAGCUAAUCUCAAAAUCGCUCCUAAUUGUUGUUGCCCGCAAAUUUAUUCAUGUUCUUAAGUUAUUUAGUUCUUUUAAUUAAUUGUUCUUAAACUUUUAUUACUUUCAAGGAUUUCUGUUUAUGGUACAAUUGAUAUCCUCAUAGGCGGCUGAUGACUUGUCAAUUGUAAGCCAUGUGGGAUGUCAUUUUAGGCCUAGGUUAGAUUGCUUUGUAAAUUGUUUUUGAUUGAAUGUAUAGUUUGCUAGCUCUUGUACGUGGAUCGCCAGCUGAAUUCAGUUCGAGAGAUCAACCCUAAGCAGGGAGCUGCUGUACUUUUGAGAUGAUGCUGUAUAUAAGCAAUUGAGAUGAAGGGAUAGCAAGAGGUACUGAUGUACAGUUGAAUGCAUCCUUAAUUUCUGUUUUCAACCGGAAGCUUCUCUUUGAUGGAGCUUUGCACAUCUCUUGAUCAACAUUCAGUUUUUAUUGAUGUAAUGUUUAUUCUCUUGGAAGCUUAUCAGGUUUUGAGCUCACUGUUGCCUAACUUUGGUUUAUAUAGUGGCAAUUUGUUUCUGGUUUUUUUGCGGAUUGGAUUGUUAGUUUCAUGGAAUGGUUUUGAGAAACUUAUGGAUUGAAGCUUUUGGAACCUGUCUUCAAGUAUUUGUUCGUUCAGUGGUGAGGAUUUCUUAAUAUUCAACUAAGUUGUCGUAUUAUCUGAAGAUUAUUAGUCAUUUUCGGUUUUUCAAUCAUCUGCGCUCUUAGUAUUUGGUUGCUGUUACACUAAUUUAAUUCUACUUUCUAUUAUAUUUGAACCACUUUGCAGAGGGGUGAUAUGAUAGGGAAAGAUCUUCACCCAUUUUGCAUUAGGUGUAAAAAUUUGAGGGAUAGAUGUACUACGGGUAAAAUCAUAGGGAAAGAGGUUCACCCAUUUUCCAUAAGGGUUAAAUUAGAGGGAUAGAUGUAUUAUAUAGAAAGUAAUUUUUUCAGUUGAUCAUUUAUAAUUUUGAUAAUAGUUUCCGUGAAAAUAUGUCUGGAAAACCAGCUAGAUAGUUCGUGAACAAAAAACAAAAAACUAUUCAUUAGCAUUCUAGGACAAGUUUUUUGAUCAUUAAGGGAUACAGGUAUUGUAGGAUAGUUUAAGCCUUUAAGGUCUGUACUAUUAUUAUUAGUGCUAAUAGUGAAAUCGUAUUAACCUUGGUGUUGUCCUAAUGAAAUACUUGGUCAAA
Molecule: long non-coding RNA, 10505 nt
Organism: Amaranthus tricolor (Joseph's coat)
Lineage: Eukaryota; Viridiplantae; Streptophyta; Magnoliopsida; Caryophyllales; Amaranthaceae
Exons: 3
Source: RefSeq, a predicted model, not a curated record